GAUGAACGCUGGCGGCGUGCCUAAUACAUGCAAGUCGAGCGAACGGACGAGAAGCUUGCUUCUCUGUUGUUAGCGGCGGACGGGUGAGUAACACGUGGAUAACCUACCUAUAAGACUGGGAUAACUUCGGGAAACCGGAGCUAAUACCGGAUAAUAUUUUGAACCGCAUGGUUCAAAAGUGAAAGACGGUCUUGCUGUCACUUAUAGAUGGAUCCGCGCUGCAUUAGCUAGUUGGUAAGGUAACGGCUUACCAAGGCAACGAUGCAUAGCCGACCUGAGAGGGUGAUCGGCCACACUGGAACUGAGACACGGUCCAGACUCCUACGGGAGGCAGCAGUAGGGAAUCUUCCGCAAAGGGCGAAAGCCUGACGGAGCAACGCCGCGUGAGUGAUGAAGGUCUUCGGAUCGUAAAACUCUGUUAUUAGGGAAGAACAUAUGUGUAAGUAACUGUGCACAUCUUGACGGUACCUAAUCAGAAAGCCACGGCUAACUACGUG
RNAcentral lists this ribosomal RNA (497 nucleotides) under uncultured bacterium. RNAcentral's name for it is "partial 16S ribosomal RNA". It matches the Rfam family "Bacterial small subunit ribosomal RNA", at positions 28 to 507 of the family's 1533-position model. The record is from RNAcentral.